Molecule: regulatory RNA element, 134 nt
Organism: Kurthia sp. 11kri321
Lineage: Bacteria; Bacillati; Bacillota; Bacilli; Caryophanales; Caryophanaceae
Rfam family: FMN riboswitch aptamer (RFN element)
About the family: The RFN element is a highly conserved domain that is found frequently in the 5'-untranslated regions of prokaryotic mRNAs that encode for flavin mononucleotide (FMN) biosynthesis and transport proteins.
Source: Rfam
AUAAUCCUUCGGGGUCGGGUGAAAUUCCCAAUCGACGGUGAUGCGUGUUAGAGCGAUAAGUCCGUGAGCUUUUCGGAGCAGGAGCUGGUGAGAAUCCAGAACCGACAGUACAGUCUGGAUGGGAGAAGGAUGUG